AAAGCGGGCCAGGCGGUCGCUCUCGCAUUUAGCGAGGGAGGAAAGUCCGGGCUCCGCAGGACGCAGUGGUCGCCAGCAGCGACCGUCCCUGAAGUCAUUAAGACUUCGGGGAUAGGGAAAGUGCCACAGAAAACAUACCGCCCUCUGCCACUGGCUGAGGGUAAGGGUGAAAAGGUGCGGUAAGAGCGCACCGCCCGCCAGAGCGAUCUGGCGCCCAUACGGGCGGCUGUACGGCCGGGGCACGGUAAACCCCACUGGGAGAAAGGCCAAACAGAGGGGAUGAGGUGGUCCGUCUCGUUUGACCCUUGGGUAGGCCGUUAGAGGGGGUCGGCAACGACCCUCCCAGAGAAAUGACCGCCAUCCGGCAUUUGCCGGACACAGAACCCGGCUUAUGGCCUGCUUUAUCU
Molecule: RNase P RNA, 407 nt
Filed under: Planctomycetes bacterium DG_23
Lineage: Bacteria; Pseudomonadati; Planctomycetota
Description: bacterial RNase P
Rfam family: Bacterial RNase P class A
About the family: Ribonuclease P (RNase P) is a ubiquitous endoribonuclease, found in archaea, bacteria and eukarya as well as chloroplasts and mitochondria. Its best characterised activity is the generation of mature 5'-ends of tRNAs by cleaving the 5'-leader elements of precursor-tRNAs.
Source: RNAcentral